UACGGGAGGCAGCAGUGGGGAAUAUUGCGCAAUGGGGGAAACCCUGACGCAGCAACGCCGCGUGAAUGAUGAAGGCCUUCGGGUUGUAAAGUUCUGUCUUCUGGGACGAUAAUGACGGUACCAGAGGAGGAAGCCACGGCUAACUAC
Molecule: ribosomal RNA, 147 nt
Filed under: uncultured bacterium
Lineage: Bacteria
Description: partial 16S ribosomal RNA
Rfam family: Bacterial small subunit ribosomal RNA
Source: RNAcentral